RNAcentral lists this long non-coding RNA (663 nucleotides) under Homo sapiens (human). RNAcentral's name for it is "HSALNT0254347". Lineage: Eukaryota; Metazoa; Chordata; Mammalia; Primates; Hominidae. The record is from RNAcentral.
ACCGAGGCCGCCUCUUCGUCCACAGCCUGACGCCAGCCACCGCCGCCGCCGUCUCCACUGCCGCACGCACGCCGCCACUUCCGCUUCCGUCCGUGCUGCGGCCCCGCACGUGACGCAGCGCCUUCUCGCGCCCAGACUGAAGCACCGCCCCCCCUUAAAGGGGCCGCGGACUAGAGCUAGCUGGAUGCAGCUUGGGAUCCCGGCCUCGCCACCGCCUGGUCGCGCGACACAGGCUGAACCCUGCCCAACCCUAAGGGGAGACCCUCGGGGCCCAAGCACCUGCCACCGCCCUCUGCUGGACCCCAGCUUCGCCAUCUACGAAGGAAGCGGCCUGUCCGAGCUCUGAGGUCCGUCAAGCGCGGCACCUCAGGACCCAGAGUGCGCUGUCCUGGCCCCUCUGCAGUAGGACUGACGGGAAGCUGUCGAGGGGGCAGUCCCGCGAUGGCAGCAGGGCCCCCACGCCUGGCGUCCUCAUCGCGCCCACCCAGCAGGGCUCACCAGCCUCCCUAGGAAGCAGGCAGGGGUCCUGGGCUCAAACGCUGCCCCACCCAUCAUCGCCCAGGCAACCAGCUCCCUAAGGGCUCCCCGGACUAGACAGAGACCCACCCCACUUCCGCAGAGUAAAACCUAUAAGGGGGUCCGUGCCGAUCUCUCCUAGGGACU